This 72-nucleotide transfer RNA is filed under the name Camelus bactrianus (Bactrian camel). It matches the Rfam family "tRNA". From Rfam's summary of the family: Transfer RNA (tRNA) molecules are approximately 80 nucleotides in length. The record is from Rfam by way of RNAcentral. RNAcentral also lists the same sequence under 2 other names. Lineage: Eukaryota; Metazoa; Chordata; Mammalia; Artiodactyla; Camelidae.
GAGGUUAUAGCUCAGUGGAAGGGUGUGUGCUUAGCAUACAUAAGGUCCUGGGUUCAAUCUCCAGUACUUCCA